This 954-nucleotide ribosomal RNA is filed under the name Russula sp. RNAcentral's name for it is "partial 28S large subunit ribosomal RNA". It matches the Rfam family "Eukaryotic large subunit ribosomal RNA", at positions 34 to 964 of the family's 3401-position model. Lineage: Eukaryota; Fungi; Basidiomycota; Agaricomycetes; Russulales; Russulaceae. The record is from RNAcentral.
CUAAGCAUAUCAAUAAGCGGAGGAAAAGAAACUAACAAGGAUUCCCCUAGUAACUGCGAGUGAAGCGGGAAAAGCUCAAAUUUAAAAUCGGAUGGCUUUGGCCCUUCGAGUUGUAAUUUAGAGAAGCGUAUUCCGCGCUGGACCGUGCACAAGUCUCCUGGAAUGGAGCGUCAUAGAGGGUGAGAAUCCCGUCUUUGGCACGGACGCACCAGGGCUUCUGUGAUGCGCUCUCGAAGAGUCGAGUUGUUUGGGAAUGCAGCUCAAAAUGGGUGGUGAACUCCAUCUAAAGCUAAAUAUUGGCGAGAGACCGAUAGCGAACAAGUACCGUGAGGGAAAGAUGAAAAGCACUUUGGAAAGAGAGUGAAACAGUACGUGAAAUUGUUGAAAGGGAAACGCUUGAAGUCAGUCGCGUCGACCGAGACUCAGCCUCGCCUCGGCUUGGUGUACUUCUCGGCCGACGGGUCAGCAUCAAUUUUGCCCCUUGGAUAAUGGCGAGGGAAAUGUGACACCUUUGCGGGUGUGUUAUAGUCCCCCGUCGCAUGCAAGGGUCGGGAUUGAGGAACUCAGCACGCGCCUUUGGGCGUCGGGGCUUUUUGCCCACGAUACGUGCUUAGGAUGUUGGCGUAAUGGCUUUAAACGACCCGUCUUGAAACACGGACCAAGGAGUCUAACAUGCCCGCGAGUGUUCGGGUGGAAAACCCGUGCGCGCAAUGAAAGUGAAAGUUGGGACCUCUGUCGUGGAGGGCACCGACGCCCGGACCAGACCUUCUGUGACGGAUCUGCGGUGGAGCGUGUAUGUUAGGACCCGAAAGAUGGUGAACUAUGCCUGAAUAGGGUGAAGCCAGAGGAAACUCUGGUGGAGGCUCGUAGCGAUUCUGACGUGCAAAUCGAUCGUCAAAUUUGGGUAUAGGGGCGAAAGACUAAUCGAACCAUCUAGUAGCUGGUUCCUGCCGA